GCGGGUGUCGCCAAGUGGUUAAGGCAGAGGUUUGUGGUACCUCCAUCCGUGGGUUCGAGUCCCAUCAUCCGCCC
This 74-nucleotide transfer RNA is filed under the name Calothrix sp. NIES-4101. RNAcentral describes it as "tRNA-His". It matches the Rfam family "tRNA". From Rfam's summary of the family: Transfer RNA (tRNA) molecules are approximately 80 nucleotides in length. Their secondary structure includes four short double-helical elements and three loops (D, anti-codon, and T loops). Lineage: Bacteria; Bacillati; Cyanobacteriota; Cyanophyceae; Nostocales; Calotrichaceae. The record is from RNAcentral.